Molecule: ribosomal RNA, 1202 nt
Filed under: uncultured fungus
Lineage: Eukaryota; Fungi
Description: eukaryotic LSU rRNA
Rfam family: Eukaryotic large subunit ribosomal RNA (bases 273-1202)
Source: RNAcentral
AGAUGCGAUACGUAGUGUGAAUUGCAGAUUUUUGUGGAUCAUCGAGUUUUUGAACGCAUAUUGCGCCUUCCGAUGAGGAAGGCAUAAACCUGUUUGAGUGUUGUUUAAAACCUCAUGGAGCAAAUGCUUCAUGGUGUUGGAUGUUGCUUGUUAAGCAUCCUCUUAAACCGUUACGACUUCGUCUUGGCGAGCGUUAACAAUGAGUUUCUUGGAACCUAGCUGUUAGCUGUAAACCAAAGAUUCGUGGUCGGUAAACUUAGUCAACAAUAUUUCAACCUCAGAUCAGGUAAGAAGACCCGCUGAACUUAAGCAUAUCAAUAAGCGGAGGAAAAGAAACCAACUGGGAUUCCCUCAGUAGUGGCGAACGAAGAGGGAAAAGCUCAACCUUGAAAUUGGACAAGUGUCUUGUUCAAGUUGUGGGUUGUGGAGGUGUGGUCGGUUGGGGCUUGGGUCCAAGUCCUUUGGAACAAGGUGUCAAGGAGGGUGAGAACCCCGUUCAUGACUUGAAGCUUCCAACCUUGUGUCCCACCUUCUUAGAGUCGAGUUGUUUGGGAUUGCAGCUCAAAAUGGGAGGUAAAUUCCUUCUAAAGCUAAAUACGGACGAGAGACCGAUAGCGCACAAGUACAGCUAUGGGCAGAUGAAAAGCACUUUGAAAAGAGGGUGAAAUAGUACGUGAAAUUGUUGAAAGGGAAGCGUUUGGUGUCAGCCCAUGGCGUUACAAGGGUCCUUAGCUUAGGCUGCUGGUAACCCUUAAACGUCGGGCCAGCAUCAGUUCUCGAGUGUGGGAAAAAUGUCGCAAGAAUGUGGCUCUCUACGGGGAGUGUUAUAGCUUACGAUGUCAUACUGCCUUGGGGACUGAGGUUCGCGAUGACUUGAUCAUCAAGGAUGCUGGCAUAAUGGUUCCAAGCGACCCGUCUUGAAACACGGACCAAGGAGUCUAACAUCCAUGCGAGUGUUUGGGUGGAAAGCCCAUACGCGUAAUGAAAGUGAUAUUGCAGGCGAGAACCGCAAGGUGCAUCGUCCACCGGUCUGGAGGUUUACCGAAAGAUCCGAGUAGGAGCAUGGCUGUUGGGACCCGAAAGAUGGUGAACUAUGCCUGAACAGGGUGAAGCCAGGGGAAACUCUGGUGGAGGCUCGUAGCGAUUCUGACGUGCAAAUCGAUCGUCUGAUUUGGGUAUAGGGGCGAAAGACUAAUCGAACC